CGAAUGAACCAGCCCUGAAAAUGGAUGGCGCUACAUUGCGGUGCCGAUACUCAACCAUCAGAGCAAAUAUGAGGCUUUGAUGAGUAAGAGGGCGUGGGAGUAGUGUAGAAGCUGUGACGUGAGUCGAGGUGGAACUGCUCUCAGUGCAGAUCUUGGUGGUAGUAGCAAUUAUUCAAAUGUGAACUUUGAAGGCCGAAGUGGAGAAGGGUUCCAUGAGAACAGUAAUUGGUCAUGGGUUACUCGGUCCUAAGAUGUAGGGAAAUUCUUCUAUGUAAGUGCUAUUUGCACGAUGUCAAAAGGGAAAGAGGUUAACAUUCCUCUAGCCUGUCGAGGAUAUUUUGCGGUAACGCAAACGAGCUCCGUAACACCAGCACGAACCCUGGGAGGAAUUCUCUUUUCUUUUUAACUGCUUAUCGCCUUGGAAUUGGAUUAUCCAGAGAGAUGGCUUUAUGGCAGGAAGAGCGAGACACCAUUUGUCUCGUCCGGUGCGUUCGUGAUGGUCAGUGAAAAUCGGGGGGAGAUUAUUAUUUGCUCGCAGGUCCGUACCAACAACCGC
RNAcentral lists this ribosomal RNA (556 nucleotides) under Dysteria brasiliensis. Its description in RNAcentral is "partial 28S ribosomal RNA". It matches the Rfam family "Eukaryotic large subunit ribosomal RNA", at positions 1298 to 1857 of the family's 3401-position model. The record is from RNAcentral. Lineage: Eukaryota; Ciliophora; Phyllopharyngea; Dysteriida; Dysteriidae.